RNAcentral lists this ribosomal RNA (466 nucleotides) under uncultured bacterium. RNAcentral describes it as "partial 16S ribosomal RNA". It matches the Rfam family "Bacterial small subunit ribosomal RNA", at positions 28 to 507 of the family's 1533-position model. The record is from RNAcentral.
GAUGAACGCUGGCGGCGUGCUUAACACAUGCAAGUCGAACGAUGAAGCUCAGCUUGCUGGGUGGAUUAGUGGCGAACGGGUGAGUAACACGUGAGUAACCUGCCCUUAACUCUGGGAUAAGCCUGGGAAACUAGGUCUAAUACCGGAUAGGAGCGCCUACCGCAUGGUGGGUGUUGGAAAAAUUUAUCGGUUUUGGAUGGACUCGCGGCCUAUCAGCUUGUUGGUGAGGUAAUGGCUCACCAAGGCGACGACGGGUAGCCGGCCUGAGAGGGUGACCGGCCACACUGGGACUGAGACACGGCCGAGACUCCUACGGGAGGCAGCAGUGGGGAAUAUUGCACAAUGGGCGAAAGCCUGAUGCAGCGACGCCGCGUGAGGGAUGACGGCCUUCGGGUUGUAAACCUCUUUCAGUAGGGAAGAAGCGAAAGUGACGGUACCUGCAGAAGAAGCACCGGCUAACUACGUG